This 91-nucleotide transfer RNA is filed under the name Magnetococcales bacterium. RNAcentral describes it as "tRNA-Ser". It matches the Rfam family "tRNA". From Rfam's summary of the family: Transfer RNA (tRNA) molecules are approximately 80 nucleotides in length. Their secondary structure includes four short double-helical elements and three loops (D, anti-codon, and T loops). Further hydrogen bonds mediate the characteristic L-shaped molecular structure. tRNAs have two regions of fundamental functional importance: the anti-codon, which is responsible for specific mRNA codon recognition, and the 3' end, to which the tRNAs corresponding amino acid is attached (by aminoacyl-tRNA synthetases). tRNAs cope with the degeneracy of the genetic code in two manners: having more than one tRNA (with a specific anti-codon) for a particular amino acid; and 'wobble' base-pairing, i.e. permitting non-standard base-pairing at the 3rd anti-codon position. Lineage: Bacteria; Pseudomonadati; Pseudomonadota; Magnetococcia; Magnetococcales. The record is from RNAcentral.
GGAGAGAUGUCCGAGCGGUUGAAGGAGCACGCCUGGAAAGUGUGUGAACUCCACAAGGGUUCCGAGGGUUCGAAUCCCUCUCUCUCCGCCA